AACGAACGCUGGCGGCAUGCCUAACACAUGCAAGUCGAACGAGACCUUCGGGUCUAGUGGCGCACGGGUGCGUAACGCGUGGGAACCUGCCCUUAGGUUCGGAAUAACUCCCCGAAAGGGGUGCUAAUACCGGAUAAUGUCUUCGGACCAAAGAUUUAUCGCCUUUGGAUGGGCCCGCGUUGGAUUAGCUAGUUGGUAGGGUAAAAGCCUACCAAGGCGACGAUCCAUAGCUGGUCUGAGAGGAUGAUCAGCCACACUGGGACUGAGACACGGCCCAGGCUCCUACGGGAGGCAGCAGUGGGGAAUAUUGGACAAUGGGCGAAAGCCUGAUCCAGCAAUGCCGCGUGAGUGAGGAAGGCCUUAGGGUUGUAAAGCUCUUUUACCCGGGAUGAUAAUGACAGUACCGGGAGAAUAAGCGCCGGCUAACUCCGUG
This 433-nucleotide ribosomal RNA is filed under the name uncultured bacterium. Its description in RNAcentral is "partial 16S ribosomal RNA". It matches the Rfam family "Bacterial small subunit ribosomal RNA", at positions 29 to 507 of the family's 1533-position model. The record is from RNAcentral.